This 451-nucleotide ribosomal RNA is filed under the name uncultured bacterium. RNAcentral describes it as "bacterial SSU rRNA". It matches the Rfam family "Bacterial small subunit ribosomal RNA", at positions 8 to 507 of the family's 1533-position model. The record is from RNAcentral.
AGAGUUUGAUCAUGGCUCAGAACGAACGCUGGCGGCAUGCCUAACACAUGCAAGUCGAACGAGACCUUCGGGUCUAGUGGCGCACGGGUGCGUAACGCGUGGGAAUCUGCCCUUCGGUUCGGAAUAACUCAGGGAAACUUGAGCUAAUACCGGAUAAUGACGUAAGUCCAAAGAUUUAUCGCCGAAGGAUGAGCCCGCGUAGGAUUAGCUUGUUGGUGGGGUAAUGGCCCACCAAGGCGACGAUCCUUAGCUGGUCUGAGAGGAUGAUCAGCCACACUGGGACUGAGACACGGCCCAGACUCCUACGGGAGGCAGCAGUGGGAAUAUUGGACAAUGGGCGAAAGCCUGAUCCAGCAAUGCCGCGUGAGUGAUGAAGGCCUUAGGGUUGUAAAGCUCUUUACCCGGGAUGACAAUGACAGUACCGGGAGAAUAAGCUCCGGCUAACUCCGUG